RNAcentral lists this ribosomal RNA (1091 nucleotides) under Haloterrigena sp. GuC7. RNAcentral describes it as "bacterial SSU rRNA". It matches the Rfam family "Archaeal small subunit ribosomal RNA", at positions 52 to 1143 of the family's 1478-position model. Lineage: Archaea; Methanobacteriati; Methanobacteriota; Halobacteria; Halobacteriales; Natrialbaceae. The record is from RNAcentral.
UGCUAGUUGCACGAGUUGAGACUCGUAGCAGAUAGCUCAGUAACACGUGGCCAAACUGCCCUAUAGACGGCGAUAACCUCGGGAAACUGAGGCUAAUAGCCGAUACCGUUCACGACCUGGAGUGGUGUGAACGCGAAACGUUCAGGCGCUAUAGGAUGUGGCUGCGGCCGAUUAGGUAGACGGUGGGGUAACGGCCCACCGUGCCUAUAAUCGGUACGGGUUGUGAGAGCAAGAGCCCGGAGACGGUAUCUGAGACAAGAUACCGGGCCCUACGGGGCGCAGCAGGCGCGAAACCUUUACACUGCACGCGAGUGCGAUAAGGGGACUCCGAGUGCGAGGGCAUAUAGUCCUCGCUUUUCACCACCGUAAGGUGGUGGUGGAAUAAGUGCUGGGCAAGACCGGUGCCAGCCGCCGCGGUAAUACCGGCAGCACGAGUGAUGACCGCUAUUAUUGGGCCUAAAGCGUCCGUAGCUGGCCAUACAAGUCUAUCGGGAAAUCUGCGCGCUUAACGCGCAGGCGUCCGGUGGAAACUGUGUGGCUUGGGACCGGAAGACCAGAGGGGUACGUCCGGGGUAGGAGUGAAAUCCCGUAAUCCUGGACGGACCACCGGUGGCGAAAGCGCCUCUGGAAGACGGAUCCGACGGUGAGGGACGAAAGCUCGGGUCACGAACCGGAUUAGAUACCCGGGUAGUCCGAGCUGUAAACGAUGUCUGCUAGGUGUGGCACAGGCUACGAGCCUGUGCUGUGCCGUAGGGAAGCCGAGAAGCAGACCGCCUGGGAAGUACGUCCGCAAGGAUGAAACUUAAAGGAAUUGGCGGGGGAGCACUACAACCGGAGGAACCUGCGGUUUAAUUGGACUCAACGCCGGACAUCUCACCAGCAUCGACAAUGUGCAGUGAAAGUCAGAUUGAUGAUCUUACUGGAGCCAUUGAGAGGAGGUGCAUGGCCGCCUUCAGCUCGUACCGUGAGGCGUCCUGUUAAGUCAGGCAACGAGCGAGACCCGCACUCUUAAUUGCCAGCAACACCUUUGCGGUGGUUGGGUACAUUAGGAGGACUGCCAGUGCCAACUGCAGGAAGGACGGGCAACGGUU